Long non-coding RNA from Arachis stenosperma, 2871 nucleotides. RefSeq lists it as uncharacterized. The transcript is spliced from 3 exons. The record is from RefSeq and is a predicted model, not a curated record. Lineage: Eukaryota; Viridiplantae; Streptophyta; Magnoliopsida; Fabales; Fabaceae.
UCUAAAAAACCAGAUAAGAGAUAAUAGCCAGAGAGAAAGAGAAGAGAUGACAAAGACUGGGAACAGGCAGAGCAUGAAUGGAACUAUCAAUAGACACAUUUGUUCAGAGUUACAAAGAGAAACACACACAUAUAAUAUACAUACAUACAUAGAUAAAGACAUGAUACAUCAUCUCAUCUAUUGUGGCUACGCUCAUGCACUGCCUCUUCCCUGGCUCUCUCUUUCUUUUUCCUUCUUUAUUUAUCUUUUCCUUGUGGAAUAAUUACUGCAAUAAUCUACUUCAUUUAUAUAUAUAUAUAUAUAUAUAUAUAUAUAUAUAUAUAUAAAAUUUAUUUUUAAUAUAUAUUUUAUAUUUUAUUAUAUAUUUUAUAUAAAUGACAUUUUUUUAUACAAUAACAUUGUUGUAUAUAGCCAAUAAGUUAUAACUCAAAUGGUAUAAUUUUUCCAAACAUUGUUGUAUAUAAAAUUAUAAAUUCUAAAGAUAAAAAUAUCUAUUUUUAAUUAUAAUUGCAAAAAAACAUUAAAAUUCAAUAUUAUUUUCUUUUGAAAAUAAAUAUCUUUAUUUAGUUAUUUUUAUUCUAUUUACAUUUUUAAACAUUAUUAACUUUUGCUAAAUCACCAUUUUUUUUUACGCUCUAACUCCUUAUCUAGGGAAACUAUGCACAGGUGUGUCUCCCUCAAAAUGCAGUUCUUUUUUGAAUAAUUUAUUUUGUUGUUGCAAGAGAGAGCUAAAACCUAAAAGCUCAUACCCCGUAUUUACCAUCCAUGAACAAAUCUACUUUCUGUUAUUUGCCGACUUUUUUUUUUAACAAUAAAAUAAAAGAGAGUUCCUGUGACAGAAAAAAAUUAGGAUGAGUUCAUACCAGUGCUGUUUCUGUCGCAAUCCUCCCUCAGGCUGACGAGAACAAGGCCAAAGCACUUAAAGUACUGUGUGCAAAGCUAUUUGAAAUGGAAGGGGUCCGAGCUCAUAGUACACGAUCAAAACUUCGGUCAGAACAGAUUGGCAGCGGUGAUAGAUCUGAACGCAUCCGGACGUACAACUUUCCUCAAGGCCGUGUCACUGAUCAUAGAGUUGGUAUAACUUAUCACUCAAUAGAUGAUGUGAUGCAAGGUGAGAAUCUUGAGGUAUUUAUCUCUCGCCUCUCUUAUUGCAAGAAGAAAUGGAUGCAAUUGCAACUUUUAGUUCUUCUCAGUAACACCAACUGAUGGAACCAGGCGUUACUAAUUAGUGACUAUUAGUUCGGGGACUCAUUUUUGUACUUCCCAUGCUGAAAAAGAAAGGUUCUUGUAUUUUGAAUAAGAUAUGCUAGAUUUAGAGAGGGGAAAAAAUUUUUUCUGAUAGCAUAGUAUCAAAUGAUGUGCGUAUGGUUAUUUGAUAAUAUAAUUACACGAUAUAUUUGUUCACCUGUGUUUCCCAUUUCAGAUUAUAACCUUUUAUUUUUCAACUUUGCUUUUGCACUAAUAAAACUCUUGCCUUUCAAAAGAGCAGAGUAUACUUUCCCUUUCACAAAAUCCUGUGAGACAAAAUCCAAUAAAGGAAAAAGAGCAUAGUAUGACAUAAAUUAAGAAUAUGCAAAAAAUUAAAUCAUUUUGCUAAUAUGAAAAUGUUUUUAAAUAAUUAAAUCAUUUGGUGUCUAGUCACCAAAAAAAAUCAUUUGGUGUCCAAUCUUAGAACGUUAAAGCGUUUUUAAAUUCAUAACCACGACAAGUCACUUACUUACUUUUCUUGCAAGACAUAACGUUGAACUAUGAAAGAUCAAUGAUAAAUUGAUAACGAUAAUUAAAAAGUGAUAAAUAGCUUUAGGUUUGCCUUCUCUGCUCUACCAUGGUACAAGUAUAUUAUGUUAGAAAAAUAUUACACAUCUUUUUUUUUAUUUCAUACAUCAAAUUAACAUAAGAUAAAUGUUAGGAGACUAAUAUUUUUAAUGGUAAAACAUGAAGAAUUGGUUAGUAUUAGCUCAAAUGUAAGAUAAAUAUAAUAAAAAAGAUUGAUCUAUUAACAUUUUUCCUAAUACAAAUCUGUUUACUUAUUAAAUUGAAUGAGAGACUUGUCUUAUAUAUUAUUCAUUAGUUUAUGCUAGUUAUUAGCCCUUUUUUUCCUCUUUUCUGUUUGGCUGCUUCACAAGAAACCGAAACUUUCAGAUUUCUUUUGAAGCAGAAGCACUCAUGUUGUUCCUAAAUGUUCCUUUGUUACUAGUUGCAUGUUUGUAUUUGUGUUCAAUCCAUACACUGCAAAGUUUCUUACAUAAAUUCACCAAUUAAAUGAUGUAGUCGUGUACUAGUUCACAAAAUCACAAUUCUACUCUGAUUAUGGUCUCUUUAUAUGAUGUGAUGAUGAUGAUUCACAUAGUGCAGUUUCCCUUUAGAAAUAUACAAGAAAUGAGAAAAAUCCACUCCAACAUACUUGUUUCCUUCCAAUUCAAUGUGAUCCUGAAAUGCUUAUUGAAAUGCGGUUAGUAUCUGUGUCCUGUUGAUAAUGCAAUGUGUAAAUGGCAACCUUCAUGUUUAUGGAACUUGUGUUACAUAUUAUAAAAUAUAUAAAGAAUAAACACCCAACCAACCCGGCCCCUGUCUAUAGAACAAGAUAUUCCAUCAAUUUUAUACAUUUUGUUUUUGUAUGAUCUGAUUUCUGUGCUUUCCUCAGAUUCUUCUAUGUUCUUAUCGCUUUAUUUUUGCUAGUUCUAUGGAAUAUCUUGUUGCUUGUUUUCUUAUUUUAACUUGAUUUAUAUUUGGCUAAUUUAAUUGAAUAUUAUAUGCUGAUUGUUAUACAGUAAUAGUGUAAUGAGCUAUGUUAGAUUUGUUUAUUUCAUCAUCUUGUUUAAUUAAUAAAUUCUUGGAUUGUUCUUGAAUGAUCGAAUUGUCUUUGUUAUU